Molecule: long non-coding RNA, 469 nt
Filed under: Sorghum bicolor (sorghum)
Lineage: Eukaryota; Viridiplantae; Streptophyta; Magnoliopsida; Poales; Poaceae
Description: long non-coding RNA (SBIC_LNC004138)
Source: RNAcentral
GCUACGGUAGCACUUUCGUUUUUAUUUGACAAACAUUAUCCAAUCACGGAGUAACUAGACUCAAAAGAUUCAUCUCACAAAUUAUAGGUAAACUGUGCAAUUAGUUUUUAUUCAUCUAUAUUUAAUACUCUAUGCAUGUGACCAAAGAUUCGUUGUGACGGAGAAUCUUGAAAAAAAAACAAGGCCUGGAAACGAACUCAUGUGGUAGACUUCACAAUCACACUACGCCAGAAAAGCAAAAAAAAAAGGAAGACGGUAAGUCUGCAACCGUCAGAGAACAAGUAGUAUAGACGUCUCUGAGUAUAUUAGUCCACGGACGCACAUCCAAAUACUCGUCUGUGACGACAUAAUAUUGGAGAUGUGUUUUAUUGGAAGCCGUCUCUGAGAUAUCAGCAACACGCGUCCAUGAGACCCGUUCGUGAUGUAAAAUAUUUCAGAGACACAGAUCUUUCAUUACUUGUCUCGACCC